Molecule: long non-coding RNA, 795 nt
Filed under: Gallus gallus (chicken)
Lineage: Eukaryota; Metazoa; Chordata; Aves; Galliformes; Phasianidae
Source: RNAcentral
GCUUGUGCACACCUGUUCUGAUUUCUCAUCAGAGCUGCUUGGUGUUUCUGAUGUGUCUUUCACAAAGUAGUUAUCCACCAGAUCUAUCUGUCUGCAUUCUUGGCGGCAUAUCGGACAUCUGAUUACCCCAACUUGCUGCACGUCGCCGUUGGCGCCGCCGGGCACGGGCACGCUGAGCUGCCGCUCGGGCUCGGGCAGACAGCGGCGGCAGAAGGAGUGCAGGCAGGGCAGCAGUUUGGGCUCAGCCUCGCGCCGGCUCUGCAGGCUCUGCGCGCACACGGCGCAGGUGUCCAGCAGCGAGAAAGGGCCCGGCGCCGCCGGCGUCAGCGGGGGAACCGGGCUGGGGCCCGGCCCCGGAACCACCCCGGGCCCCGCCUCGGCCUCGGCCUCCCCGAGACCACGCUCCGCCGCCGCCGCCGCCGCCGCGCCCGGGCUCUCCCGCUCCUCGAGAGGCGCUGCGGAGGGCGCGGGCGGCGCCGCACCCGAGGGGGACGCGGCCGUGGGCUCCAGGCCGCCGCCGCCGCCCGGCCCGGCCUCGGCAGCCCCCUCCCCGCCGCCGCCGCCUCCUUUGUUUUCCGCCAUGUUUCCUCCUUUGAACCCAACUCCCCGCUCCGCGCACGCACGGCGUCACAACGCGCCGUGCGCGCUCCCCAGCGGGAGGGCGGGUCCGGGGCUCGCGCAGGCGUGGCCGCCCGGUGCGAAGCGGUGCGCGGACAGACGAGACGUGACGUCACGUGACGCACAGUCGGCUAGAGCGCCGCGAGCGCCUUUCCGCGAGCUCCGGCGUGAGUCGCG